CAUAACACUUGGAAAGAACAUCGAGUCCCAUCAUAUUACACAUGAUAGCAUAACAUCUUUUAAUGGGAUGCUUGCUGAUAAAGUAAUUGACAGUUAUCUGGAUAUUAUGAUUAGCAACAGGGGUAAGAAGGCAGUGGAGCACCUGUUGGAAUAUGGAUUGGACAAAACACCAAAGAUCUCCCACAAGACUUUUUAGUGCUUAAGCUAUAUUUAUUCUGAUUUUAAGAAAUAUUGUUGUUGCAGACAAAAGGCAUUUCAAAAUAAUACCUAUUGGGCAUAAGAGCAGGUUAAUUUUGUCAUAAUGCAACACUUGUGACAGUUUUUUUAAUUGUACAAGUGCAAAAGGGAAUCUUAACUGGCCCAGUGAUUAUAACUGCAAUGUCUUUAUUUAAUGCAGAAAUGAUAAUGGAUCCAGUAUAAUUCUGUAAGAGGCUACUACUACCAAAUCCUGGAAAUUGUGUUAUUAUUAUAUACUGCCAUACACUUAUAUCAAAUAUUAUAUAUGAAGAACAUUGGUUCAAAAUUUUGCAUUAACUGUGGAGGUUCCAUUACAUCUUUUUAUAUGUUUGUAUUAUUACCCUUUGUAUAGAGUGCAAAUGGGAUGCUGUUGAUAUAUUUUUGAAAGUGGUGUCUGGAUGAUGGACUUGUUAAAAAGUCAUGUGCACUAGCAUCUGAAUUAAGGGUAUAAUACUGUACUGUAUUUAUGUCUCCAUUUUUAUAUAAUUGUGGGAAAAAUUAUUUAAGAUCUGAACAAAACUGUGCAAGUGAAGUAAAAGAGCCACUUAAGUUAUGCCAGAGCCCUCUUAGUUAAUUUUAUGAGAAUCAGGAAUACAGUUAAAUUCUUAAUUAAAAUAAAAUUAAUUUUGGGUGGUUUGCAAAAUUUUUUCCAGUUCCAAAUCGAAGGUCUCUUUAUUACCUGCAGUACACGCACCUAAGAGCCUGUUUGACCCUGAAAUAAAGGUCGAAAGUAAAAUCUAAGGGCAUAUUUGGAAUCUCCACAUGACUUUUGGUCAGACUUCUAUAGUAAUUUUUCCCAUAAUUCCUUCGGUUUGAGAGAUAUUUAGCACUGAAUUUUCAAAAAUUAUGACAAGGGCGCAUUCAAACGAGUGUCACUAAAACCAUGAGUAUUGCCAGCAUACAUGCUGGUGGUACUAAUAAUUUAGAGUGUUUCCCCCAUCUCUUAAGAGA
Long non-coding RNA from Lingula anatina, 1188 nucleotides. RefSeq lists it as uncharacterized. Lineage: Eukaryota; Metazoa; Brachiopoda; Lingulata; Lingulida; Lingulidae. The record is from RefSeq and is a predicted model, not a curated record.